RNAcentral lists this ribosomal RNA (459 nucleotides) under uncultured bacterium. RNAcentral's name for it is "partial 16S ribosomal RNA". It matches the Rfam family "Bacterial small subunit ribosomal RNA", at positions 338 to 795 of the family's 1533-position model. The record is from RNAcentral.
CCUACGGGUGGCAGCAGUGAGGAAUAUUGGUCAAUGGCCGAAAGGCUGAACCAGCCAAGUCGCGUGAGGGAAGACGGCCCUACGGGUUGUAAACCUCUUUUUUCGGGGAGCAAAGAGAGUCACGUGUGACGCAUUGAGAGUACCCGAAGAAAUAGCAUCGGCUAAUUCCGUGCCAGCAGCCGCGGUAAUACGGAGGAUGCGAGGGUUAGCCGGAUUUAUUGGGUGAAAAGGGUGCGCAGGCGGAGGUGCAAGUCAGCGGGAAAAUGGCGGGGCUCAACCCCGUACUGCCGUUGAAACUGCAUCCCUUGAGUGCGGGAGAAGUAUGCGGAAUGUGUGGUGUAGCGGUGAAAUGCAUAGAUAUCACGCAGAACUCCGAUUGCGAAGGCAGCAUACCGGCGCGCAACUGACGCUCAUGCACGAAAGCGUGGGUAUCGAACAGGAUUAGAUACCCUUGUAGUC